GCCUCGGUAGCUCAGCCCGGUAGAGCGAGUGAUUCGUAAUCACUAGGUCGGGGGUUCAAAUCCCCCCCGGGGCU
RNAcentral lists this transfer RNA (74 nucleotides) under Methanosarcinales archaeon. RNAcentral describes it as "tRNA-Thr". It matches the Rfam family "tRNA". Rfam says of the family: Transfer RNA (tRNA) molecules are approximately 80 nucleotides in length. Their secondary structure includes four short double-helical elements and three loops (D, anti-codon, and T loops). Lineage: Archaea; Methanobacteriati; Methanobacteriota; Methanomicrobia; Methanosarcinales. The record is from RNAcentral. RNAcentral also lists the same sequence under 1 other name.